RNAcentral lists this ribosomal RNA (476 nucleotides) under uncultured bacterium. Its description in RNAcentral is "bacterial SSU rRNA". It matches the Rfam family "Bacterial small subunit ribosomal RNA", at positions 107 to 598 of the family's 1533-position model. The record is from RNAcentral.
UGAGUAACGCGUGGGUAACCUGCCUUACACAGGGGGAUAACACUGGGAAACCAGUGCUAGUACCGCAUAACAUCAUUUUAUGGCAUCAUGAAAUGAUCAAAGGAGAAAUCCGGUGUAAGAUGGGCCCGCGUCCGAUUAGCUAGUUGGUGAGGUAAUGGCUCACCAAGGCAGCGAUCGGUAGCCGGACUGAGAGGUUGGCCGGCCACAUUGGGACUGAGACACGGCCCAGACUCCUACGGGAGGCAGCAGUGGGGAAUAUUGCGCAAUGGGGGGAACCCUGACGCAGCGACGCCGCGUGAAGGAAGAAGGCCUUCGGGUUGUAAACUUCUUUGAUUGGGGAAGAAAAAUGACGGUACCCAAAGAACAAGCCACGGCUAACUACGUGCCAGCAGCCGCGGUAAUACGUAGGUGGCGAGCGUUAUCCGGAAUUACUGGGUGUAAAGGGCGUGUAGGCGGGGAUGCAAGUCAGAUGUGAA